This 2815-nucleotide long non-coding RNA is filed under the name Canis lupus familiaris (dog). RNAcentral describes it as "lncRNA (ENSCAFG00000053060.1, ENSCAFG00845017507.1)". Lineage: Eukaryota; Metazoa; Chordata; Mammalia; Carnivora; Canidae. The record is from RNAcentral.
UUUAAACUGCCUAAAAACUAUUGCAUUAAUUUGAAAUGUAAUAGGAAAAAAAUGAAAUGUAAUAGGAAAAAUAAUGAGUUAACAAUAAUUCAUCUCAUCAAUAAGGGCUAACAUGCAUUCAGGUAACAGACCUUUGUUCUGGCUGCCUCGUCCUCUACACAUGAUAACUGUAUGAGGUAGUUACUACUCUUAGCUACAUUUAUCAGAUGAGGCAAAUAAUUCAUAGAGAGGUCAAAUAACUUGUCCAAGGAAACAUGCUAGAGUAAGUAACAGAGUCAAGCUAAGAGAAAGAGCUCUACCAAAUUUCCCCUCUUGAAGUUUUAUGUGUGUUUCCGAAAGUAUAUAUGUCGAUUAAAUUUUUAAAAUUAAAUUGUACAUUAAAUGCAGUCAAAUUAGCUGUUUAAUCAAAUGAAUCAUUUAUGGUAAUAAUACCCCAAAUUUACCUGUGUAUAAAUUUAAAUGUUGUUGUAUCAUUGCUUUUGUUCUGUACUCUCUAGUUAUCUAAAGACAGAAACACAUCUCCAACCCAUUUAAAUAAAAUAGAGAGUAUUAUUGAUGCCUACAACUGCAAAGCCACUUCAGACAUGACCAGAUCCAGAAGUUCCAACAAGAUGAUAAGCCUGCAGCCCUUUGUCUUACAACUCUACUUCCUUUGCCUGCAUUCUCAAGGAAGAUUUGUGUCCACUGGCCGAUCUUAACUUUAAUUUUUCCUGCAGUCGGAUACAUAACACAAACAAACUCCUUUCUCAGUAGCUCAGGCAAAACUCCCAAGAGAUAAUCCUCAUUAGUCUAGUUGGGUCGUGCUCCAAUGCCUGAACCAUCACUGUGGCUGGAGAAAGAAAGUUCUGUCUCCAGGCCUGAGUGUUGUAUCAGCCCUACCCAAACUAAGAAGGGAGAAGGGGUGAUGUCUAAAGGAAAAUCAAGAUAUUGCUACCUACGGAAGAGGAAGAAAUUGCUGGCCAGAAAAAAAAAAUCCACAAAACUCCCAGACACAAGUUCUCUAAAAAUAGUUUUUAGCUUUGUUAGUGUAAUCUCUUCAGUGUUAACUAUAACGUGGCACUGAGUCAGGUAGGGUGCAGUUGCAGAAAAUAAAAUCUGCUCUAGCUAGUUUCAGCUGAAAGGGAUUUAUUACAGGGUUUUAAGACACAUUUCUCAAGACAAACAAAGAGACGGAGUUUCUUUUAAGGUCAUAGGAAAUAUGCUAAGAGAAGGUUAAUCUCUUUAGUGUAAAAGGGUUGGUUUUUGUGUAAAUAUUCCACGCUGAGUUUGGAAUACCGCAUUUCCUCUUUCUCCUCCUCCUAGGAUGACCAACAAGUCUUGGUUUGAGAUUUUCCUGGUUUUAAAACUGAAACACUCAAUAAUCCAGGAGCUCCUCCAUGCUGGGAAAACGAGGAAAGUUGGUCACCUACCUCAUCCCACCCCCUCUAGUAGUGAUAUCAAAUGCAAUCUACUGGCUAAAGCCAAUACUUGAAGCCAGCUGACCAAGCCAUAUGAUCUAGGAAAUCAGGGGGCAGGGAAAAGAUUUAAAAAACCUAAACCUCUUUAAUAAAGAAGAGAAUGAAGGGGAGGGAGAGUCCAAGGUGAAUGGAUUUCCCUAUAGGGCACAUUACAGGUUAGUACAUGGAGUCCUGAGAGGCCCCAAGUCUCUUGAGGAGUUGGAAUCCAAUAGAAAAAGGAACUAAGCCCAAAUGCCCAUGACCUAUUGGGUCUAUGUUGAUUGGAAGGUCCCAAGAAUUGUUUCAUGUUCAUCCUAGCCUCUGAGUGUUUGCUUGCUAGCUGACAGGAAUACUGCCUGAUAAUUGGGUUAAAUCCCCUCUCCUUCAGGUUAUAAAAUGGAAAGCCGAGAAAUACAUACCCAUCCUUGUACAAUUAAAGUUCUUUCUGAUAUUGACUACCAGACCCUCCCACUUUUAGUAUAUAACUGAAAACCUUAUGAAAUUCCUCCUUCUCCUUCUGCUCCAGUCCUACCCUAAUGGGUAUCCCAUACAGGGGAACUUUGCCCCCCUUGCCCCACCCUUGGAUUUGGGGGAUUUCUCUCACUGUAGGUCCCAUUUACACUUCAACUAAAAUGGCAGGACUAUGAGAUUAUUCCCUCAGGGCUAAGGCCCAGAAAAGAGUAUGGGUCCUCCCCAAUGCUUCCCCACCUUCACCUAAUUUUACUGAACUCCUGAAAUACUUCUUUCCCAAGGGAAGAGGCUGAUUUGCUUCAUCAGAAUAAUUCAGCAAGAGAUAACCAAAAUUACUCUUCAUUCUGCCUAUUGGGAAUAUGAGCUAAAUAUUGGUGCUUAUAUCCCCCCAGAAUUCUGCUCUUUACCUUCUCAAAUUUUCUACCUUGAGUGUCUCCAGUAAAGGCCAUGCUUUACUACAACUUAUACACUGGUGACACACAAAUUAUUUCCUGUCCCCAUAGCUCCGCUCUUGAAUUAUCUUCAGUUCCCCACAGGCAAAAUCCUAGAGCUUGUGUACAUUCUAUCUCUAUGUUCACCCAAACUCUCUGUGGUCCUUUCUCUCCUCAGAGGCCCCUAUAUUAGCUACACGAUGGGAAGGCAGGUAUUACAUUAUGCCCUUAUUUUACCAACAAGGAAAAUAAAAUCCAAUGCAGUAAAGUUGUUCAUUUAAGACCACAUAUCUAGGGGCCCCUGGGUAGUUCAUCGGUUGAGCAUCUGCCUUUGGCUCAGGUCAUGAUCCUGGGUCCUGGAAUCGAAUGCAGCAUUGGGCUCCCUGCAGGGAGUCUGCUUCUCCCUCUGCCUAUGUCUCUACCUCUCUCUGUGUGUCUCUCCUGAAUGGAUAAAUAAAAUCUUAAAAAAAAAAAAAA